This is a long non-coding RNA of Syzygium oleosum, 2092 nucleotides long. RefSeq lists it as uncharacterized. The transcript is spliced from 2 exons. The record is from RefSeq and is a predicted model, not a curated record. NCBI's taxonomy places the organism in Eukaryota, Viridiplantae, Streptophyta, Magnoliopsida, Myrtales, Myrtaceae.
UUUGGUCUUGCAUUCCUGCAACUUGACCAAGUUUCCUCUUUUUCUGACCUCUUUAAAAAAGUUAAGAAAAUUAGAUCUCUCCAAAAACAAGAUUGGCGGUGAGAUCCCGAGAUGGUUUUGGGAUGUAGGGGAAGGUAGACCACAGGUUCUUGAUAUUUCUAGUAACCGUAUUGAGGGAGGCAUACAACAAUUUCCAUGGACAGAGUUGACUUUUGUUUACCUUAGUGACAACUUAUUCCGGGGCCUGCUUCCAAUUCCACCACUCCGUAUAGUCAGCUUUCAGGCCACCGACAACGGCUUCAGCGGAGAGAUUCCAUCUUCCAUUUGCGAAUUAUGCUCCCUUGAAACUCUAUACUUGGAUAGUAACAAUCUCUCUGGCUCUGUUCCACAAUGUUUGGGAAAUUUAACCAACCUCGUUGAAUUAGACUUGAGCGCCAAUUAGUUUGAAGGGACAUUACUGCGGUCUUUAGACAAUUGUGCAUCAUUGUUCUUUCUAAAAGUCAGUUACAACAAAAUGAACGAUACUUUUCCCAAGUGGUUGCUAGAAUCCCGCUCAUUGAGGUGGAUCGAUCUGCAGUUCAAUGAAUUCCAUGGCCAAAUCGAUCCUCCAACUGCUCCAUUUCUUCCCUCCACGCUUUAUAGCUUUUCCAUAUCUAACAAUAAUUUGGGGGGUCAAUGGCCCGAGGAAUAUUUUCUCCAUCAGUUGAAUCUGUGGACGGUUGAUCUAUCCAACAACAGAUUUGAAGGUCCUCUUCCAAUUCCACCACCCACCACUCAAUUCUAUUUCAUGGCAAACAACAAGAUUGGUGGAAAGGUUUCACCUUUGAUAGAUGGUGCCACUGAGCUCGUAGUCCUUGACUUGUCCAAUAAUAGUUUGAUGGGCACCUUGCCCGAGUGCUUGAUGAGCUUUAGCAAAAAUCUCUCGGUGCUCAGCCUCCGAAUGAACAGGAUUCAGGGUGUGAUCCCUAGAAAAUUUGCUGAGGGCAGCAAUUUAAGGACUAUUGACUUUAGUUGAAAUCGAUUUGAAGGGACAUUGCCACGGUCCUUACUACAUUGUGAAAAUUUGGAAGUUUUGGAUCUCGGCAACAAUAGAAUGGAGGAUACGUUCCCUGAUUCCCUUCCCAAGCUACAAGUUCUUGUUUUGAGGUCCAACAUGUUCCAUGGCUUCGUAAGUAGUCCUAGAGCAGCUCGCCCAUUUUCUGAAUUGCGCAUUUUCGACCUGGCCAACAACAAUCGGAGCGGUCCUUUACCUAUUAGAUAUAUUAUGAAGUUUACUGCCAUGAUGAAUCAAGAUAAAAUACGGGGCAAGCCGCAAUAUAUGGGAGAUGAUAAUUAUCAAGAUUCAGUCACAUUGACCAUAAAAGGACUAGAGAUACAGUCGGUGACAAUUCUAACUGUUUUCAUGAGUAUCGACUUAUCGAGCAACCAUUUUGGUGGGGAGCUUCCCGUGGGUAUAGGAAACCUGAAGUCACUCAAAGGGCUCAACUUUUCCCGCAACAAUCUUGUAGGCUAUAUCCCUCCGUCUACCAGGAACUUGACUGAACUUGAAUGGCUAGACCUCUCUUCAAAUAAGUUCGUUGGAAGGAUUCCUCGAGAACUAGCGGAUUUGACAUCUCUUGAAUUCUUGAACCUCUCAUAGAAUCAGCUCAUCGGACCUAUUCCUCAGGGACGGCAAUUCAACACAUUCAAGAGCGACUCGUUUGUCGGGAAUCCCGGACUAUGCGGAUUUCCAUUGCCAGAGACAUGCACAGAUGGUUCACGAGAAAUUCCACCAAUAACCAUCGUUCAGGAAAAUGGUACAGAGCAUGGAGGCUGGUUUGAGUGGAUAGCCAUAUUGAUGAGUUAUGGGUCUGGAAUCGUAGCUGGAGUCUCUCUAGGAUACAUUGUUCUCGAAUCCAGAAAAUUUGAAUGGGUCGGGGGAUUGCUUGAAAGGAAAGGAGCUAAUAUGAGAAAGAAGUGGAGGAGCAAUGCUCGUAGAUCUUGUCAAAUAUGAGAAUCUCGACCGUUCAUUUUUUGCAUUGUAAGAUGAUGAAUAAGUCUGUUGAACUGCCAUGAGGCAAAUUAUAUGCUUAUUAUUUUGGUCUUUUUAUCA